RNAcentral lists this transfer RNA (392 nucleotides) under Microcystis ichthyoblabe NRERC-206. Its description in RNAcentral is "partial 16S-23S ribosomal RNA intergenic spacer". The stretch from base 151 to 224 matches the Rfam family "tRNA". The record is from RNAcentral. Lineage: Bacteria; Bacillati; Cyanobacteriota; Cyanophyceae; Chroococcales; Microcystaceae.
CUGGAUCACCUCCUUAAAGGGAGACCUAAUUCAGGUAGGAGACGAAAAAAAAGUAGUCGCUACCAAGAAUCAAUCCCAAAAGGUCGGAGCGAGGCGAAAUUGGCUUUCAAACUAGGUUCUGGGUUCAAACAAGACCUGAAUCAGGAACAAGGGCUAUUAGCUCAGGUGGUUAGAGCGCACCCCUGAUAAGGGUGAGGUCCCUGGUUCGAGUCCAGGAUGGCCCACCUGCACAGGUGGCAAAAAAAGAGAAGCGAGGAAUCAGCACCUUAUCUUACUGACAUAGUAAGAGAGAAUGCUGGCUCUGAGUAAAGAGUCCAGAGGAACCUUGAAAACUGCAUAGAGCUAGGUGAAAAAGCCAAAAAAGAAGACCGCAAGGUCAAGCUAAUAAGGGC